Molecule: long non-coding RNA, 560 nt
Organism: Ictalurus punctatus (channel catfish)
Lineage: Eukaryota; Metazoa; Chordata; Actinopteri; Siluriformes; Ictaluridae
Source: Ensembl
CACUCUGAGUCAGGCCUAGGUCAAAAGGUCAACAACGUAAAACCCAGUUCCGAUACAUUCCCGAGCACAAACACACCCCACACACACACUAGCAUGCAUACGAACCUGUUCAUAAAGUCGAGCACUUCGAAAGUUUUAACAUCGGAAAAGGUUCGACCGAAUUUCCAGAGUCUAUUCUUCACUACUUCCAGAAUCAAACACUUCGAAAGUUUGAACAUCGGCAAAGUUCAACAGAAUUUCCAGAGUCUAUCCUUCACUACUUCCAGACACCAUGGAUUUCUCGGCAGUGCAAGACCGAGUUAAGCUCAUCUGAUUCUAGUGUAUAGACAGCUUGGUGAUUAUUUCUGAUGAUGAGAUUCCCGAAACAACCACUCAUGGCCUUUUGAAUCUGAGCUCCACACAAUUUGAGGGAAACGUGACUAACAGUGAUUACGACGGAGAUAUUUCAGGUGAGUUGUAGUAUAUUUACCUUCUAUUUACACAGCACAAAAAAUAAAUAAAUAAAAGCUCUUUCACAUGUUCUGUGACUUAUAGAUACGAGUGAUGCAAUAGAAGACCAA